Molecule: ribosomal RNA, 253 nt
Filed under: uncultured bacterium
Lineage: Bacteria
Description: partial 16S ribosomal RNA
Rfam family: Bacterial small subunit ribosomal RNA
Source: RNAcentral
UACAGGGGGUGCAAACGUUGCUCGGAAUCAUUGGGCGUAAAGCGCACGUAGGCGGUUCGUUAUGUCGGAUGUGAAAGCCCUUGGCUUAACCGAGGAAGUGCAUCCGAAACUGGCGAGCUAGAGUACUAAAGAGGAUCGCGGAAUUCCCGGUGUAGAGGUGAAAUUCGUAGAUAUCGGGAGGAACACCGGUGGCGAAGGCGGCGAUCUGGGUAGAUACUGACGCUGAGGCGCGAAAGCGUGGGGAUCAAACAGG